GCUGGGUGUGGUGGCUCACACCUGUAGUCCCAGUUACUUGGGAGGCUGAGGCAGGAGAAUCGCUUGAACCCGGGAGGCAGAGGUUGCAGUGAGCUGACAUUGUGCCACUGCUCUCCAGGCUGGUGACAGAGUGUCACUCUGUCUCAAAAAAAAAAAAAGGAAAAAUGAGAUCUUUUUGUUAUUGUUGUUUGUUUGUUUUUGAGAUAGAGUCUCGCUCUGUCACCCAAAUUGGAGUGCAGUGGCAUGAUCCUGGCUCACUGCAACCUCCACCUCCCAGGUUCAAGUGAUUCUCCUGCCUCAG
Molecule: small RNA, 301 nt
Filed under: Macaca fascicularis (crab-eating macaque)
Lineage: Eukaryota; Metazoa; Chordata; Mammalia; Primates; Cercopithecidae
Description: Metazoan signal recognition particle RNA (ENSMFAG00000051858.1)
Source: Rfam by way of RNAcentral